GCACGGAGUUAGCCGAUCCUUAUUCUUACUGUACAUUCAGCUACUUAUACAUAAGUAGGUUUAUUCCAGUACAAAAGCAGUUUACAACCCGUAGGGCCGUCUUCCUGCACGCGGCAUGGCUGGUUCAGACUUCCGUCCAUUGACCAAUAUUCCUUACUGCUGCCUCCCGUAGGAGUCUGGUCCGUGUCUCAGUACCAGUGUGGGGGGUCAUCCUCUCAGAUCCCCUAAACAUCGUAGCCUUGGUAUGCCGUUACCACACCAACUAGCUAAUGUUGCGCAUGCCCAUCUUGAUCCUAUAAAUAUUUGAUUAUAUUGCGAUGCCACAACAUAAUGUUAUGCGGUCUUAAUCUCUCUUUCGAGAGGCUAUCCCCCUGAUCAAGGUAGGUUACAUACGUGUUACGCACCCGUGCGCCACUCUCACAGGGAGCAAGCUCCCCGAUCCCGUCCGACUUGCAUGUAUUAGGCCUGCCGCUAGCGUUCAUCU
This 484-nucleotide ribosomal RNA is filed under the name uncultured bacterium. RNAcentral's name for it is "partial 16S rRNA". The record is from RNAcentral.